This 230-nucleotide long non-coding RNA is filed under the name Lathyrus oleraceus (garden pea). RNAcentral's name for it is "Pisum sativum (pea) long non-coding RNA (PSAT_LNC006078)". The record is from RNAcentral. Lineage: Eukaryota; Viridiplantae; Streptophyta; Magnoliopsida; Fabales; Fabaceae.
AUCAGAGUCUUCGUAGCUCGGCUAUCUAGGGGUUAAGGAUAAGUGUGCUCGCUAAGACGUCGCGUCUUAUGCCUACGUAUCUCAUCGGGAAUGAGAAUCAGAGCAAAACGUAGUUCAGCUAACUACGGGAACAAAGGUCUCGAUUGCAACUAGGGCAAGAGAAAGGGAAGGUCUCGAUCGCAACGAGGGCGAGAGAAAGGAUCGCAACGAGGGCGAAAGCAAACAAGGAU